UUCCAGUGAAUGCAAAAGUUGUGAAGUCUACCCAGAGUUACCUGCUCACAUGUUUCUGCAGGACCUCACAGAAACUCUGCAGUGGAUCUAUAGCAUAUUAACCAAGUAAAACACUGCAUACAGCAGAAACAAGAAAAUGAUGGAAGGUGACCCUGAUUUAAUCCAGUUAUCCAGUGUAAUGAACAGAGUAAAUGGGAGUGAUUUCAUGAACCUGGACACUGUUGUCUUCUGGCUAAUGAACAAAAAAACAGCAGAAUGCAUGUCUUCAGAAGUUAGCAGAAUCACCAGUGUGAAAAAGGAAUCUGUCCUUGCCUUGUCAACUGCACAUGGUGAACAGGAGGGUAAAUAGAAGGACAUGAUGGCCACUAUAUGCUGACAUGAUGGAGAUGUAAUUUAUGAAACAUUUCUAUUCUGUUUGGUUGGCAAUGUGGACCUAAAUGGAAAAGUUUCAUUAUUAAGAUUUCUAUUACCAUUUUGAUGGUGCGACUAGAAUAUAAUACUUGUUGCAGCUACAUGAUAUGCUGAAAGAAAUGGACUGAUUCAGCAAAAUGGAAACCACAUACUAAGCAUUGCAUGUACAUGCUUGUGUGUUCCCUUCAUAAUUGUCAGUCGUAUUGAGUUUCAGUCAUUUCUUACAUUGCAGGAGGAAGAGGAGGAGCAAGAGUAUAAGAGAUGCAGAAAUACAAGUGAAUCUAUUCCCUACAGGAUACAUUUCAUUUAAAGUGCUCCAGAGACAAAGGGAAUCACUCACCUCU
Long non-coding RNA from Protopterus annectens (West African lungfish), 755 nucleotides. RefSeq lists it as uncharacterized. NCBI's taxonomy places the organism in Eukaryota, Metazoa, Chordata, Ceratodontiformes, Protopteridae. The transcript is spliced from 2 exons. The record is from RefSeq and is a predicted model, not a curated record.